UUCUUUGUCGGGGCGGGUACAAAGUAGGGCCUGCCCACUGUGUAAAUGAAGGGCCGCAGUAUACUGACUGUGCUAAGGUAGCGUAAUCAUUAGUCUUUUAAUUAAAGAAUAGAAUGAAUGGUUUGACCGGUAAGGGCUUUUUUAAAUUUAAAAUCUGAAAUUAGGCUUUAAGUGAAAACUCUUAAAUUUUUCUAUAAGACGAUAAGACCCUUUAGAGCUUGACUUAUUAUACAUUUUAUAAAUUCGGGGGGGUUUAUAAAAUGUAUAAUAAGUUUUGUUGGGGCAACAUUGGAAUAAAAUUAACUUCUCAUUAUGUAUUAUUGUUUAGAUAGUGUAAUCUUAGAUUUAAAAUUUAAAAAGUUACCUAAGGGAUAACAGCGUUAUACUUCUGGGGAGUUCUUAUCGAUAGAAGUUCUUGCGACCUCGAUGUUGAAUUAAAAAUUCUUUUAGGUGCAGUUGCUUAAGGAGAUAGUCUGUUCGACUAUAAAAUUUUU
This 494-nucleotide ribosomal RNA is filed under the name Lepidocyrtus sp. 2 FZ-2013. RNAcentral's name for it is "partial 16S ribosomal RNA". It matches the Rfam family "Bacterial large subunit ribosomal RNA", at positions 1829 to 2597 of the family's 2925-position model. The record is from RNAcentral. Lineage: Eukaryota; Metazoa; Arthropoda; Collembola; Entomobryomorpha; Entomobryidae.